AAAACGACUCUCGGCAACGGAUAUCUCGGCUCUUGCAUCGAUGAAGAACGUAGCGAAAUGCGAUACUUGGUGUGAAUUGCAGAAUCCCGUGAACCAUCGAGUCUUUGAACGCAAGUUGCGCCCAAAGCCAUUAGGCCAGGGCACGCCUGCCUGGGUGUCACAC
Molecule: ribosomal RNA, 163 nt
Filed under: Vigna radiata var. radiata (mung bean)
Lineage: Eukaryota; Viridiplantae; Streptophyta; Magnoliopsida; Fabales; Fabaceae
Description: 5.8S ribosomal RNA
Rfam family: 5.8S ribosomal RNA
About the family: 5.8S ribosomal RNA (5.8S rRNA) is a component of the large subunit of the eukaryotic ribosome.
Source: RNAcentral